GAUGAAGAACGUAGCGAAAUGCGAUACUUGGUGUGAAUUGCAGAAUCCCGUGAACCAUCGAGUCUUUGAACGCAAGUUGCGCCCGAAGCCAUUAGGCCGAGGGCACGCCUGCUUGGGUGUCACACGUCGUUGCCCCCCCAUCUACUCCUUCGGGAUUGCGGGGGGCGGAUGUUGGCUUCCCGUGCGCCUCGUCGCGCGGUUGGCAUAAAUGCCAAGUCCUCGGCGACGCACGCCACGACAAUCGGUGGUUGCGAAACCUCGGUUGCCCGUCGUGUGCGGUCGUCGCGCAUCGAGGGCUCGAAAAAAUUGCCGGGCUCCGGCUCGGCUUUCAACGCGACCCCAGGUCAGGCGGGGUUACCCGCUGAAUUUAAGCAUAUCAAUAAGCGGAGGA
RNAcentral lists this unclassified non-coding RNA (391 nucleotides) under soil metagenome. RNAcentral's name for it is "partial contains 5.8S ribosomal RNA, internal transcribed spacer 2, and large subunit ribosomal RNA". The stretch from base 1 to 122 matches the Rfam family "5.8S ribosomal RNA", at positions 35 to 154 of the family's 154-position model. The record is from RNAcentral.